RNAcentral lists this ribosomal RNA (497 nucleotides) under uncultured bacterium. RNAcentral describes it as "partial 16S ribosomal RNA". It matches the Rfam family "Bacterial small subunit ribosomal RNA", at positions 28 to 523 of the family's 1533-position model. The record is from RNAcentral.
GAUGAACGCUGGCGGCGUGCUUAACACAUGCAAGUCGGGCGAAGCACUUUGCUUUGAUUUCUUCGGGAUGAAGAGCUUAGUGACUGAGCGGCGGACGGGUGAGUAACGCGUGGGUAACCCGCCUCAUACAGGGGGAUAACAGUUAGAAAUGACUGCUAAUACCGCAUAAGGCCACAGCACCGCAUGGUGCAGGGGUAAAAACUCCGGUGGUAUGAGAUGGACCCGCGUCUGAUUAGGUAGUUGGCGGGGUAACGGCCCACCAAGCCGACGAUCAGUAGCCGACCUGAGAGGGUGACCGGCCACAUUGGGACUGAGACACGGCCCAAACUCCUACGGGAGGCAGCAGUGGGGAAUAUUGCACAAUGGGGGAAACCCUGAUGCAGCGACGCCGCGUGAGCGAAGAAGUAUUUCGGUAUGUAAAGCUCUAUCAGCAGGGAAGAAAAUGACGGUACCUGACUAAGAAGCCCCGGCUAACUACGUGCCAGCCGCCGCCGUAA